UACGUAGGGUGCAAGCGUUGUCCGGAAUCAUUGGGCGUAAAGAGCGUGUAGGCGGUCCGGUAAGUCCGCUGUGAAAGUCGGGGGCUCAACCCUCGAAUGCCGGUGGAUACUGUCGGGCUAGAGUGCGGAAGAGGCGAGUGGAAUUCCUGGUGUAGCGGUGAAAUGCGCAGAUAUCAGGAGGAACACCUAUUGCGAAGGCAGCUCGCUGGGACGUUACUGACGCUGAGACGCGAAAGCGUGGGGAGCAAACAGG
Molecule: ribosomal RNA, 253 nt
Filed under: uncultured bacterium
Lineage: Bacteria
Description: partial 16S ribosomal RNA
Rfam family: Bacterial small subunit ribosomal RNA
Source: RNAcentral